RNAcentral lists this ribosomal RNA (1362 nucleotides) under Triticum aestivum (bread wheat). Its description in RNAcentral is "partial small subunit ribosomal RNA". The record is from RNAcentral. Lineage: Eukaryota; Viridiplantae; Streptophyta; Magnoliopsida; Poales; Poaceae.
AUGUCGACCUCGGCGCGCGAGACGAUCGCUCUGGUCAGGGACUCCUCGUCGGUGCCGAGCCCGAUGAUCGAGCUCCGGAUCACCUGGAGAAGGCAGAGCCAUGAAGAACAUCAGAACAGAAGCAGCCUGGAAAAGGUUGAACUUUUGAGUAUUACCUCUGCGAAAUGCUUCUCGGGCGAUGUCAGGCACCAGACCGCGGUUUUCAGCAUCGCGGAGAGCUUGUCGUUGCGAUUGCCCUCGAGAACCUGUGAAUUUGCGGCGCAUAAAAAUAGGUACUGUAGUUCAUUUUUGUGUGUUCAGUUCUUUUUUAACUGUAGAAAAAUAAUGGCGCCGCAGAAAGUAGACCUCGUCGAUGGCCUUGCCGUGCUCCUGCUUGUAGUGCUGGAACGUCGCCUUGAGCUGCGGCUUGCUCCUGGAGCUGACGAUGCAGACCACGUCGCCGUGCAGCGGCUGCUUCUUGGCCGCCACCGCGCCGUGCAGCUCGGCCGCCUCCGCCCUCGCCAGCUCGCCGUCGACGUGCUCGCCGCCGUAGCGGUACGAGCUCACCAAGCGCACCAAGAACUGCACACGCAUACACGAACGCUCAGCUCAACUGACCGGCAACGGCAAGAGCAAGAAAUCAACCCACGGCGGCGACAAAAAGGGAGGAGAAUGCCAGGAUCCGCACGGCCUUGCCUGCUUGAGGGGGUCCUUGUAGAGCGGGCAGGCGGCGACGUCCUCCUCGAGCGACGAGUCGUAGGCGGAGCAGUAGGCCUUCCUGACGGCGACGAGGUGGUCCGGCGACGACGCGCAGGCGACCUCGAUGAGCACCCAGGCGUGCCGGUCCCCGCCCUUCUUCCUGAGGGCCUUGUACGCCAGCUUGGCGUCCCGCGCCGCCGGGUCCAUCGCCCACAGCGUCAUCGCGCCCUGAAGCACAUGGAGAUUUUGGUGUCUGGGGACGACGAAGCACAUGGAGGUCGCCAUGGAGGUGAAGGUGUGUAUUACCUUGAAGUGGCUGGAGAGCUCGUCCUGGAGCGUGCGGAGGAGGGGCUUGUCGUAGAGGCCCUCGUAGGCCACGGCGAUCUCCGCGCGCUGCGCCGCCGUCCGGUGGCCGAGGAUCUCGAUCAGCGCGUUCUCGUCCGUCCCCCACCCUGCCCAUUUCUCGAUUUCAGUACGGAUUCUUCUCGCGUCGGAGCGAAAAACAACAACAUCAAUAUCAAUGGACUCCUACUGGCAAUCACUUGCCACCAAGAACAAUCAUUGUCCCAAACUCCCAAUCUCCCUGCCCUCCAAUUUUUUCAAAUGACAACAACAAAACAGACUCGAGCCAUCUCGCAAAAGAAUCGACCAGGAGAGCUACAAAAACGAGGUAAACUCGAUUGA